AGAGUUUGAUCCUGGCUCAGGAUGAACGCUAGCUACAGGCUUAACACAUGCAAGUCGAGGGCAGCAUGGUCUUAGCUUGCUAAGGCUGAUGGCGACCGGCGCGACGGGUGAGUAACACGUAUCCAACCUGCCGUCUAACGUCUUGGCCAGCCUUCUGAAAGGAAGAUUAAUCCAGGAUGGGAUCAUGAGUUCACAUGUCCGCAUGAUUAAAGGUAUUUUCCGGUAGACGAUGGGGA
RNAcentral lists this ribosomal RNA (236 nucleotides) under uncultured bacterium. RNAcentral describes it as "partial 16S ribosomal RNA". It matches the Rfam family "Bacterial small subunit ribosomal RNA", at positions 8 to 231 of the family's 1533-position model. The record is from RNAcentral.